GAUGUCCAGUGAUGAUUUAUUACCUACAUUGUUUGAAAACCUGAUGUAAACAAAACAUUCUGAGGACAUU
Molecule: small nucleolar RNA, 70 nt
Organism: Gigantopelta aegis
Lineage: Eukaryota; Metazoa; Mollusca; Gastropoda; Neomphalida; Peltospiridae
Product: small nucleolar RNA SNORD34
Exons: 1
Source: RefSeq, a predicted model, not a curated record